This 45-nucleotide non-coding RNA is filed under the name Echinostoma caproni. The record is from RNAcentral. Lineage: Eukaryota; Metazoa; Platyhelminthes; Trematoda; Plagiorchiida; Echinostomatidae.
GCACUGCUGAUGAAUCCCAAACAGGACGAAACAGCUGUCCAGUGC